UACAUUCCAUGAUGUCCAGCACUGGGCUCUGAUCACUCCGGAGGACACAGUUUUCCCCAAGACCAUGGCUACCUGGGGAUCUGAGAGAAAA
Small nucleolar RNA from Gorilla gorilla gorilla (western lowland gorilla), 91 nucleotides. Lineage: Eukaryota; Metazoa; Chordata; Mammalia; Primates; Hominidae. The record is from RefSeq and is a predicted model, not a curated record.